This 459-nucleotide ribosomal RNA is filed under the name uncultured bacterium. RNAcentral describes it as "partial 16S ribosomal RNA". It matches the Rfam family "Bacterial small subunit ribosomal RNA", at positions 338 to 795 of the family's 1533-position model. The record is from RNAcentral.
CCUACGGGUGGCAGCAGUGAGGAAUAUUGGUCAAUGGGCGGAAGCCUGAACCAUCCCCGUAGCUUGCGUUCUUCCUUCCCUCCUUUUUUUCCCCCUCUUUUUUCCUGGGAUAAAACCCUCCACUUGUGGAGGUCUGCAGGUACCGUGCGAAUAAGGGCCGGCUAAUUCCGUGCCAGCAGCCGCGGUAAUACGGAAGGCCCGAGCGUUAUCCGGAUUCAUUGGGUUUAAAGGGAGCGUAGGCGGGCGUUCAAGUCAGCUGUAAAAUCUCGCGGUUCAACCGCACCCCGCAGUUGAUACUGGGCGCCUUGAGUGCACAAGAGGCAGGCGGAAUUCGUGGUGUAGCGGUGAAAUGCAUAGAUAUCACGAAGAACCCCGAUUGCGAAGGCAGCCUGCCGGGGUGCGACUGACGCUGAGGCUCGAAGGUGCGGGUAUCAAACAGGAUUAGAUAACAUAGUAGUC